RNAcentral lists this ribosomal RNA (800 nucleotides) under uncultured bacterium. RNAcentral describes it as "bacterial SSU rRNA". It matches the Rfam family "Bacterial small subunit ribosomal RNA", at positions 66 to 851 of the family's 1533-position model. The record is from RNAcentral.
GCGAGAACCAGACCUUCGGGUCUGGGGACAGCGGCGAACGGGUGAGUAACACGUGGGUAAUCUGCCCUCGAUUCUGGGAUAGCCCGGGGAAACCCGGAUUAAUACCGGAUAGCCUCUCGAGCUUUCGGGCUCGUGAGAAAAGGUAGCUUCGGCCUCCGAUCGAGGAUGAGCCCGCGGUGGAUUAGCUUGUUGGUGGGGUAAUGGCCUACCAAGGCGACGAUCCAUAGCUGGUCUGAGAGGACGAUCAGCCACACUGGGACUGAGACACGGCCCAGACUCCUACGGGAGGCAGCAGUGGGGAAUCUCGCGCAAUGGGCGAAAGCCUGACGCAGCGACGCCGCGUGGGGGAAGAAGGCCUUAGGGUUGUAAACCUCUUUCAGCAGGGACGAAGCCACUCGGGUUAAUAGCCCAGAGGGUGACGGUACCUGCAGAAGAAGCCCCGGCUAACUACGUGCCAGCAGCCGCGGUAAUACGUAGGGGGCAAGCGUUGUCCGGAUUUAUUGGGCGUAAAGAGCGUGUAGGCGGCCGCACAGGUCCGUUGUGAAAACUGGAGGCUCAACCUUCAGACGUCGAUGGAAACCGUGCGGCUAGAGUCCGGAAGAGGAGAGUGGAAUUCCUGGUGUAGCGGUGAAAUGCGCAGAUAUCAGGAAGAACACCCGUGGCGAAGGCGGCUCUCUGGGACGGUACUGACGCUGAGACGCGAAAGCGUGGGGAGCGAACAGGAUUAGAUACCCUGGUAGUCCACGCCGUAAACGAUGGGUGCUAGGUGUGGGGGGGUGUCGACUCCCCCCGUGCCGAAG